GCUGGCGGCGUGCCUAAUACAUGCAAGUCGAGCGAACAGAUAAGGAGCUUGCUCCUUUGACGUUAGCGGCGGACGGGUGAGUAACACGUGGAUAACCUACCUAUAAGACUGGGAUAACUUCGGGAAACCGGAGCUAAUACCGGAUAACAUAUUGAACCGCAUGGUUCAAUAGUGAAAGNCGGCUUUGCUGUCACUUAUAGAUGGAUCCGCGCCGUAUUAGNUAGUUGGUAAGGUAACGGCUUACCAAGGCAACGAUACGUAGCCGACCUGAGAGGGUGAUCGGCCNCACUGGAACUGAGACACGGUCCAGACUCCCACGGGAGGCAGCAGUAGGGAAUCUUCUGCAAUGGGCGAAAGCCUGACGGAGCAACGCCGCGUGAGUGAUGAAGGUCUUCGGAUCGUAAAACUCUGUUAUCAGGGAAGAACAAAUGUGUAAGUAACUGUGCACUNCUUGUACGUGUACCUGA
This 467-nucleotide ribosomal RNA is filed under the name Staphylococcus warneri. Its description in RNAcentral is "bacterial SSU rRNA". It matches the Rfam family "Bacterial small subunit ribosomal RNA", at positions 35 to 482 of the family's 1533-position model. Lineage: Bacteria; Bacillati; Bacillota; Bacilli; Caryophanales; Staphylococcaceae. The record is from RNAcentral.